Molecule: ribosomal RNA, 227 nt
Filed under: Klebsiella pneumoniae
Lineage: Bacteria; Pseudomonadati; Pseudomonadota; Gammaproteobacteria; Enterobacterales; Enterobacteriaceae
Description: partial 23S ribosomal RNA
Rfam family: Bacterial large subunit ribosomal RNA
Source: RNAcentral
UGAAGAGGGAAACAACCCAGACCGCCAGCUAAGGUCCCAAAGUCAUGGUUAAGUGGGAAACGAUGUGGGAAGGCACAGACAGCCAGGAUGUUGGCUUAGAAGCAGCCAUCAUUUAAAGAAAGCGUAAUAGCUCACUGGUCGAGUCGGCCUGCGCGGAAGAUGUAACGGGGCUAAACCAUGCACCGAAGCUGCGGCAGCGACACUAUGUGUUGUUGGGUAGGGGAGCG